RNAcentral lists this ribosomal RNA (865 nucleotides) under uncultured Gammaproteobacteria bacterium. RNAcentral's name for it is "bacterial SSU rRNA". It matches the Rfam family "Bacterial small subunit ribosomal RNA", at positions 45 to 907 of the family's 1533-position model. Lineage: Bacteria; Pseudomonadati; Pseudomonadota; Gammaproteobacteria. The record is from RNAcentral.
GGCAGCUACCAUGCAGUCGAGCGCGAACGUUUCUUCGGAAACAAGUAGAGCGGCGGACGGGUGAGUAACGCGUGGGAAUCUACCCAGUAGCGGGGGAUAACAUGGAGAAAUUCAUGCUAAUACCGCAUACGCCCUACGGGGGAAAGGAGGGGAUCUUCGGACCUUUCACUAUUGGAGGAGCCCGCGUGAGAUUAGAUAGUUGGUGGGGUAAUGGCCUACCAAGUCGACGAUCUCUAGCUGGUCUGAGAGGAUGAUCAGCCACACUGGAACUGAGACACGGUCCAGACUCCUACGGGAGGCAGCAGUGGGGAAUAUUGCACAAUGGGCGAAAGCCUGAUGCAGCCAUGCCGCGUGUGUGAAGAAGGCCCUAGGGUUGUAAAGCACUUUCAAUUGGGAGGAAAGGUUAACGGUUAAUACCCGUUAGCUGUGACGUUACCUUUAGAAGAAGCACCGGCAAACUCCGUGCCAGCAGCCGCGGUAAUACGGAGGGUGCGAGCGUUAAUCGGAAUUACUGGGCGUAAAGCGCGCGUAGGCGGAUAAUUAAGUCAGCUGUGAAAGCCCCGGGCUCAACCUGGGAACUGCAGUUGAUACUGGUUAUCUAGAGUACAGUAGAGGGUGGCGGAAUUUCCUGUGUAGCGGUGAAAUGCGUAGAUAUGGGAAGGAACAUCAGUGGCGAAGGCGGCCACCUGGACUGAUACUGACGCUGAGGUGCGAAAGCGUGGGGAGCGAACAGGAUUAGAUACCCUGGUAGUCCACGCCGUAAACGAUGUCAACUAGCCGUUGGGGGACUUGAUCCUUUAGUGGCGCAGCAAACGCAAUAAGUUGACCGCCUGGGGAGUACGGCCGCAAGGUUAAAACUCAAAUG